Molecule: ribosomal RNA, 235 nt
Filed under: uncultured bacterium
Lineage: Bacteria
Description: partial 16S ribosomal RNA
Rfam family: Bacterial small subunit ribosomal RNA
Source: RNAcentral
UGAGGAACAUGACUUUCGGUGGGGGAUAGCCGGCCCAACGGCCAGAUAAUACCGCGUACGACCUUUUGGGGACAUCCCUGAUUGGUGAAAGCAGCAAUGCGCCGAAAGAGUGCCUCGCGGCCUAUCAGCUAGUUGGUGGGGUAAUGGCUCACCAAGGCAACGACGGGUANCUGGUCUGAGAGGAUGGCCAGCCACAGUUGGGACUGAGACACGGCCCAGACCUCCGUAGGGACGG